CGUUGCUGCCACUACUAGAACAGUAUGCAGGCGUAGGUUCUUAUGACCAAAACACUCUCAGGGGGGCCCCAUGGCAAGUUCAGUCACAAGGCGCUAACACUGACAUAUGUACGGGCAACCAACCUCAACUAGCUAGUAUGGCUAAUCAAGGGCCUUCAUGCAGCACGUGGCAUCAGCCAGCACCCAUGUACCUGCCAUCGACGUCAUACACAGGUCAGUCCAUAAAAAAAGUGAAGUUGCGGAUGUUCAAUUAGCAGAAGGGGCAUAGUUGGCAG
Triticum dicoccoides is the source of this 275-nucleotide long non-coding RNA. RefSeq lists it as uncharacterized. The transcript is spliced from 3 exons. Lineage: Eukaryota; Viridiplantae; Streptophyta; Magnoliopsida; Poales; Poaceae. The record is from RefSeq and is a predicted model, not a curated record.